AGAGAGAGACAUGCGCGCAUAUCAAUAAGCGGAGGAAAAGAAACUAACAAGGAUUCCCUUAGUAACGGCGAGUGAAGCGGGAAGAGCUCAAAUUUGAAAUCUUCAAGGCUCUACCUUGACGAAUUGUAGUUUAAAGAAGUGUUUUCUGUUGAAGUUUUGGUAAAAGUUCUUUGGAAUAGGACAUCAUAGAGGGUGAGAAUCCCGUAUUUGACCAUUAUUUUCAGCUUUGUGAUACACUUUCAAAGAGUCGGAUUGUUUGGGAAUGCAGUCCAAAAUGGGUGGUAAAUUUCAUCUAAAGCUAAAUAUUGGCGAGAGACCGAUAGCGAACAAGUACCGUGAGGGAAAGAUGAAAAGAACUUUGAAAAGAGAGUUAAACAGUACGUGAAAUUGUCAAAAGGGAAGCGUUUGACACCAGUGUUGUUUUCUCGAAAAUCAAUUAAAAAUGGCUCGAUUUUGUAUUGCUUGAGACCUUAAAAGCUCACUGUACAUUUUUCGUGUCUUUUUUAAUGCACUUUUCGUUUAACAAGUCAACAUCAGUUUCUUUUGUUGUAAAAGGGUCAUUGGAAGGUGGCUUUCUUUUCGGAGAAAGUGUUUAUAGCCUUUGGCCUCUGCAAUCGGAGAGACUGAGGUCUGCAGCGUAGACUCUUCGGGGUUAGAUACAUUUGCGCUAAGUUAUAGCUUUUUAUAGACAACUUGUUGACUAUAAUUAGUCUUGUAGCUUACUCGCUUAUGCUAUUUUACCUACGCUUAGGAUGUUGAAGUCAUCGUAUCGCGC
RNAcentral lists this ribosomal RNA (775 nucleotides) under uncultured Neocallimastigales. Its description in RNAcentral is "partial large subunit ribosomal RNA". It matches the Rfam family "Eukaryotic large subunit ribosomal RNA", at positions 23 to 645 of the family's 3401-position model. Lineage: Eukaryota; Fungi; Neocallimastigomycota; Neocallimastigomycetes; Neocallimastigales. The record is from RNAcentral.